UUUUGUGUAGCUCAACGGUAGAGCGUCCCGAUUAGCAUCGGGAAGGUUAUCCGGUUCGAGUCCGGGAACGCAAAAG
Molecule: transfer RNA, 76 nt
Filed under: bacterium
Lineage: Bacteria
Description: tRNA-Leu
Rfam family: tRNA
About the family: Transfer RNA (tRNA) molecules are approximately 80 nucleotides in length. Their secondary structure includes four short double-helical elements and three loops (D, anti-codon, and T loops).
Source: RNAcentral